GGUAUGGUAGCUCAGAACUUUUCUUCUUUUGCAUGUAGCCUUUCAAAGUGCCGUAAAAAGAAGAUACUUCGGUAGAGCGGUUUUCAUCAAAAACAGGCACAGGUUCAAGUCCUGUCCAUACCA
RNAcentral lists this transfer RNA (123 nucleotides) under Spirochaetota bacterium. RNAcentral describes it as "Spirochaetes bacterium (freshwater sediment metagenome) tRNA-Asp". It matches the Rfam family "tRNA". Rfam says of the family: Transfer RNA (tRNA) molecules are approximately 80 nucleotides in length. The record is from RNAcentral. Lineage: Bacteria; Pseudomonadati; Spirochaetota.